Molecule: small RNA, 28 nt
Filed under: Bombyx mori (domestic silkworm)
Lineage: Eukaryota; Metazoa; Arthropoda; Insecta; Lepidoptera; Bombycidae
Description: piRNA piR-bmo-1596038
Source: RNAcentral
UGAUGAUUUUCGAGAUAAUGCUUUUUUU